GAUGAACGCUGGCGGUAUGCCUAACACAUGCAAGUCGUACGAGAGUUUUUAACUCUAGUGGCGGACGGGUGAGUAACACGUGAGAAUUUGCCUUUAGAGGGGGACAACAAUCGGAAACGAAUGCUAAUACCCCAUAUGCUUUCGAGUGAAAUGGAUUUUAUCCGCCUAGAGAGAAGCUCGCGGCUGAUUAGCUUGUUGGUAAGGUAAGAGCUUACCAAGGCGACGAUCAGUAUCUGGUUUGAGAGGACGAUCAGACACACUGGAACUGAGACACGGUCCAGACUCCUACGGGAGGCAGCAGUGGGGAAUUUUCCGCAAUGGGCGAAAGCCUGACGGAGCAAUACCGCGUGAGGGAAGAAUGCCUAUGGGUUGUAAACCUCUUUUUUCAGGGAGGAAUCAAAUGACGUGUACCUGAAGAAUAAGCAUCGGCUAACUCCGUG
This 440-nucleotide ribosomal RNA is filed under the name uncultured bacterium. RNAcentral's name for it is "bacterial SSU rRNA". It matches the Rfam family "Bacterial small subunit ribosomal RNA", at positions 28 to 507 of the family's 1533-position model. The record is from RNAcentral.